UACGUAGGUGGCGAGCGUUGUCCGGAUUUACUGGGCGUAAAGGGCUUGUAGGCGGUCCGUUCAGUCCGAUGUGAAAUCUCCCGGCUCAACUGGGAGAGGUCAUUGGAUACUGGCGGACUAGAGGGGGGUAGAGGAAAGCAGAAUUCCUGGUGUAGCGGUGAAAUGCGUAGAUAUCAGGAGGAAUACCAGUGGCGAAGGCGGCUUUCUGGGCCUACCCUGACGCUGAGGAGCGAAAGCGUGGGGAGCAAACCGG
This 253-nucleotide ribosomal RNA is filed under the name uncultured bacterium. RNAcentral's name for it is "partial 16S ribosomal RNA". It matches the Rfam family "Bacterial small subunit ribosomal RNA", at positions 524 to 776 of the family's 1533-position model. The record is from RNAcentral.